RNAcentral lists this long non-coding RNA (1218 nucleotides) under Cairina moschata (Muscovy duck). RNAcentral describes it as "domestica (muscovy Duck (domestic type)) lncRNA (ENSCMMG00000003985.1)". Lineage: Eukaryota; Metazoa; Chordata; Aves; Anseriformes; Anatidae. The record is from RNAcentral.
AUGACCCCAAUCUUGACGUUUUUCACCCCAUUGACCCCAAUUUUGACGUUUUUCACCCCGUUGACCCCAAUUUUGACGUUCUCCAUGGUUCUACCAUCCCCGUUGACCCCAACCUUGACGUUCUUCACCCCGUUGACCCCAAUCUUGACGUUUUUCACCCCAUUGACCCCAAUCUUGAUGUUCUUCACCCCAUUGACCCCAAUCUUGACGUUUUUCACCCCAUUGACCCCAACCUUGACGUUCUUCACCCCGUUGACCCCAACCUUGACCUUCCUCAACCGUGAUGACCCCAAUCUUGACGUUUUUCACCCCAUUGACCCCAACCUUGAUGUUCCUCACCCCAUUGACCCCAAUUUUGACGUUCUCCAUGGUUCUACCACCCCCGUUGACCCCAAUCUUGACGUUUUUCACCCCAUUGACCCCAUUUUGCUGUUCCUCAUGGUUCUACCACCCCCAUUGACCCCAACCUUGACGUUUUUCACCCCAUUGACCCCAAAUAUGACGUUCCUCAUGGUUCUACCACCCCCGUUGACCCCAACCUUGACGUUUUUCACCCCAUUGACCCUAAAUAUGACGUUCCUCAUGGUUCUACCAUCCUUUUUGACCCCAAUCUUGACGUUUUUCAUCCCGUUGACCCUAAUCUUGAUGUUCUUCACCCCGUUGACCCCAUCCUUGAUGUUCCUCACCCCGUUGACCCCAAUUUUGACGUUCUCCAUGGUUCUACCACCCCCGUUGACCCCAAUCUUGACGUUCUUCACCCCAUUGACCCCAACCUUGAUGUUCUCCAUGGUUCUAUUGACCCAUGAUGACCCCAAUCUUGACAUUUUUCACCCCACUGACCCUAAAUAUGACGUUCCUCAUGGUUCUACCAUCCUUUUUGACCCCAAUCUUGACGUUUUUCACCCCGUUGACCCCAAAUAUGACGUUCUCCAUGGUUCUACCACCCCCGUUGACCCCAAUCUUGACGUUUUUCACCCCAUUGACCCCAACCUUGAUGUUCCUCACCCCGUUGACCCCAAUCUUGACGUUUUUCACCCCAUUGACCCCAAUCUUGACGUUCUUCACCCCAUUGACCCCAAAUAUGACGUUUUUCACCCCGUUGACCCCAAUUUUGACGUUCUCCAUGGUUCUACCACGCCCAUUGACCCCAACCUUGACGUUCUUCACCCCGAUGACCUCAUCCGUGACGUCACCGCCCCGUCCCCUCCCAUAGGGUGA